This 253-nucleotide ribosomal RNA is filed under the name uncultured bacterium. Its description in RNAcentral is "partial 16S ribosomal RNA". It matches the Rfam family "Bacterial small subunit ribosomal RNA", at positions 524 to 776 of the family's 1533-position model. The record is from RNAcentral.
UACGUAGGUCGCAAGCGUUGUCCGGAUUUACUGGGCGUAAAGAGCGCGCAGGCGGCUGGUCAAGUCCGAUGUGAAAUCUCCCGGCUCAACUGGGAAACUGCAUCGGAAACUGAUCGGCUUGAAGGUGGGAGAGGGUAGUGGAAUUCCCGGUGUAGUGGUGAAAUGGGUAGAGAUCGGGAGGAACACCGGUGGCGAAGGCGGGUCUCUGGGCAAUUCCUGACGCUGAGGCGCGAAAGCGUGGGGAGCAAACGGG